CAGUAGCCACGGGAAUACAGAGGGUGCGAGCGUCAAUCGGAUUUACUGGGCGUAAAGCGUGCGUAGGCGGCUUCUUAAGUCGGAUGUGAAAUCCCUGAGCUUAACUUAGGAAUUGCAUUCGAUACUGGGAAGCUAGAGUAUGGGAGAGGAUGGUAGAAUUCCAGGUGUAGCGGUGAAAUGCGUAGAGAUCUGGAGGAAUACCGAUGGCGAAGGCAGCCAUCUGGCCUAAUACUGACGCUCAGGUGCGAAAGCGUGGGGAGCAAACAGGAUUAGAUACCCGAGUAGUCCCUGUCUCUUAUAC
RNAcentral lists this ribosomal RNA (301 nucleotides) under uncultured bacterium. Its description in RNAcentral is "partial 16S ribosomal RNA". It matches the Rfam family "Bacterial small subunit ribosomal RNA", at positions 509 to 807 of the family's 1533-position model. The record is from RNAcentral.